AAAGCGGGGGGGGGGGUCUACCCCUUUUGGGGCAUGAACUUCUGUAAAGGAUCCUUUCCGUAAGGGGGGCCUGCGGAAGGAUCAUUACAGAGUUCAUGCCCGAAAGGGUAGACCUCCCACCCUUGUGUAUUAUUACUUUGUUGCUUUGGCGAGCUGCCUUCGGGCCUUGUAUGCUCGCCAGAGGAUAAUUAAACUCUUUUUAUUAAUGUCGUCUGAGUACUAUAUAAUAGUUAAAACUUUCAACAACGGAUCUCUUGGUUCUGGCAUCGAUGAAGAACGCAGCGAAAUGCGAUAAGUAAUGUGAAUUGCAGAAUUCAGUGAAUCAUCGAAUCUUUGAACGCACAUUGCGCCCCUUGGUAUUCCGGGGGGCAUGCCUGUUCGAGCGUCAUUUCAACCCUCAAGCACAGCUUGGUAUUGAGUCUAUGUCAGUAAUGGCAGGCUCUAAAAUCAGUGGCGCGCCGCUGGGUCCUGAACGUAGUAAUAUCUCUCGUUACAGGUUCUCAGUGUGCUUCUGCCAAAACCCAAAUUUUCUAUGGUUGACCUCGGAUCAGGUAGGGAUACCCGCUGAACUUAAGCAUAUCAAAGCCGGGGAAGAAAAUCAU
Molecule: small RNA, 602 nt
Filed under: Monilinia fructicola
Lineage: Eukaryota; Fungi; Ascomycota; Leotiomycetes; Helotiales; Sclerotiniaceae
Description: eukaryotic LSU rRNA
Rfam family: 5.8S ribosomal RNA (bases 235-388)
Source: RNAcentral